CAGUCGACGGCAGCGCGGGGCAACCUGGCGGCGAGUGGCGAACGGGUGAGUAAUAUAUCGGAACGUGCCCUGGAGUGGGGGAUAACGCAGCGAAAGUUGCGCUAAUACCGCAUACGAUCUAAGGAUGAAAGCGGGGGAUUCGCAAGAACCUCGUGCUCCUGGAGCGGCCGAUAUCUGAUUAGCUAGUUGGUGGGGUAAAGGCCUACCAAGGCAUCGAUCAGUAGCUGGUCUGAGAGGACGACCAGCCACACUGGAACUGAGACACGGUCCAGACUCCUACGGGAGGCAGCAGUGGGGAACUUUGGACAAUGGGCGAAAGCCUGAUCCAGCAAUGCCGCGUGCAGGAAGAAGGCCUUCGGGUUGUAAACUGCUUUUGUACGGAACGAAAAGGUCUGCCCUAAUACGGCGGGCCCAUGACGGUACCGUAAGAAUAAGCACCGGCUAACUACGUGCCAGCAGCCGCGGUAAUACGUAGGGUGCGAGCGUUAAUCGGAAUUACUGGGCGUAAAGCGUGCGCAGGCGGUGAUGUAAGACAGUUGUGAAAUCCCCGGGCUCAACCUGGGAAUUGCAUCUGUGACUGCAUCGCUAGAGUACGGUAGAGGGGGAUGGAAUUCCGCGUGUAGCAGUGAAAUGCGUAGAUAUGCGGAGGAACACCGAUGGCGAAGGCAAUCCCCUGGACCUGUACUGACGCUCAUGCACGAAAGCGUGG
This 709-nucleotide ribosomal RNA is filed under the name uncultured bacterium. RNAcentral describes it as "bacterial SSU rRNA". It matches the Rfam family "Bacterial small subunit ribosomal RNA", at positions 59 to 764 of the family's 1533-position model. The record is from RNAcentral.